CUGCUCCACCACGACGAUUCCUGUGCGCGCGCGCAUGUGCGCUUGUCGUAACAGUGCUCGUGUUGGCUGCCGGUACCGCUCGCCGCUGGGCUUCGGCCUGCUUUUGAUGAGGAGGCUACCGCCACUGUGGUGGCUGCGGCUCAGGAGGCUGCUCAGGGGCGUAGUCGGCGCCUCCGGGGGGGCGCGGUUGGGGUAGGACUGCGCGGAGAGGCACAGCGCCUUAGGCUCGGGCGAGAGACGGCGGUGGCGCCGCGGACCCCAGACGGAGGAGGCGAAGCGGACCCUCAGCCGGCGGCCAAGGGAGCAGCCGCGGCAGCAACCUAUACCUUUUCCAAACCAGUGAUGUUUUCCCAAAUUUCCGAGUAAACGACUGCGACGGAGAAGACGAUUCUAUAAACGACAAGAACGGCCGCAAGUUUCGAACCAAAGAACGAGAAACUCUUUCGAUGCACCGUUUCUACUGCAAUAAUUGCGUCCUCAACGUCCGACAACGUGACCGGAACGAAACUCAAAAGGUCCACGUGGCGUUUGAGACUAAGUCUCGACAGACCGGAAACCUUGAAAGAGCAUGUAGUAUCUUUUCGAGUUAUCCGUCGUUGGACGCGAACGCGAUGGCAGUCGACGACCGGACUUCCUACACUUCCGACCGGGCUCACAAGAAGGGGGGAAGUGCGAAUUGUACGGCGUGCUACGCUACCUUCCAAAGAGAAGCAAAGUUUUGAAAAACAGUUUCAAGGCUCUUUCGACUUCCUGGACCCCCGUACUAUGAAACUAUAGACAGGUACGUUUACGUAGCUCGACUCGAAAAAACAAAGGUCAAAUCACAUAGCGCUUCCUACUAGUAAGAUGAGACGGAAACUUGCAAAGCGUUCAAUGGGAGGUCUUCCUUUCGUCGAAUCGACCACAGGUUGGACUACUUAUUAGCACGUAUUGGACCCGUCGUCUAACGGACUUGGAAACACUAUCAGGAAACGAUCGCUUAAGAACAUAUACUGCCUGCCCAUGAGUCAUUACAAAGUAGUCCAGAGUCUUAUUCUGAUCUGACUAUUAAAAGUUCCUAACAGAAAAAUAAAUUUUAAAAGAGUUCUCAUG
This 1092-nucleotide ribosomal RNA is filed under the name Triticum aestivum (bread wheat). RNAcentral's name for it is "partial small subunit ribosomal RNA". The record is from RNAcentral. Lineage: Eukaryota; Viridiplantae; Streptophyta; Magnoliopsida; Poales; Poaceae.